RNAcentral lists this ribosomal RNA (572 nucleotides) under Cytophaga sp. 0sq516. Its description in RNAcentral is "bacterial SSU rRNA". It matches the Rfam family "Bacterial small subunit ribosomal RNA", at positions 337 to 906 of the family's 1533-position model. Lineage: Bacteria; Pseudomonadati; Bacteroidota; Cytophagia; Cytophagales; Cytophagaceae. The record is from RNAcentral.
GCCUACGGGAGGCAGCAGUGAGGAAUAGGAAUNUUGGACAAUGGAGGCAACUCUGAUCCAGCCAUGCCGCGUGCAGGAAGACGGCCCUAUGGGUUGUAAACUGCUUUUAUACGGGAAGAAACCCAACUACGUGUAGUUGGCUGACGGUACCGUAAGAAUAAGCACCGGCUAACUCCGUGCCAGCAGCCGCGGUAAUACGGAGGGUGCAAGCCGUUAUCCGGAAUCAUUGGGUUUAAAGGGUCCGUAGGCGGGCUAAUAAGUCAGGGGUGAAAUCCAACAGCUUAACUGUUGAACUGCCUUUGAUACUGUUAGUCUUGAAUUAUAUGGAAGUAGAUAGAAUGUGUAGUGUAGCGGUGAAAUGCUUAGAGAUUACACAGAAUACCGAUUGCGAAGGCAGUCUACUACGUAUAUAUUGACGCUAAUGGACGAAAGCGUGGGGAGCGAACAGGAUUAGAUACCCUGGUAGUCCACGCCGUAAACGAUGGACACUAGUUGUUGGAUUUAUUCAGUGACUAAGCGAAAGUGAUAAGUGUCCCACCUGGGGAGUACGAACGCAAGUUUGAAACUCAAAU